Molecule: ribosomal RNA, 253 nt
Filed under: uncultured bacterium
Lineage: Bacteria
Description: partial 16S ribosomal RNA
Rfam family: Bacterial small subunit ribosomal RNA
Source: RNAcentral
UACGUAGGCAGCAAGCGUUGUUCGGAGUUACUGGGCGUAAAGAGUAUGUAGGCGGUUGGGUAAGUUUGGUGUGAAAUCUCCCGGCUUAACUGGGAGGGUGCGCUAAAGACUGCCUGGCUCGAGUGUGGGAGAGGAAAGCGGAAUUCUUGGUGUAGCGGUGAAAUGCGUAGAUAUCAAGAGGAACACCUGAGGUGAAGACGGGUUGCUGGGCUGACACUGACGCUGAGGCGCGAAAGCCAGGGGAGCAAACGGG